GCAAACUUGGUCAUUUAGAGGAAGUAAAAGUCGUAACAAGGUUUCCGUAGGUGAACCUGCGGAAGGAUCAUUAACAAUUGUCCACGAUAAUGGAUAAUUUAUCCAUAUCCACCUUGUGUGAAUCAUUGACGUGUUUAUUGGCAGGUUAUCUGAAAAGAUGUGAGCAGCUCGCUGCUCGGCCUGCCAAUUUUAUUAUGUGUAAACAUGGCUAAACAUUAUUUGUCUGAAAUAUAUUAUUUAUAAUAAAAACAACUUUCAACAACGGAUCUCUUGGCUCUCGCAUCGAUGAAGAACGCAGC
Molecule: unclassified non-coding RNA, 299 nt
Filed under: uncultured fungus
Lineage: Eukaryota; Fungi
Description: partial contains small subunit ribosomal RNA, internal transcribed spacer 1, and 5.8S ribosomal RNA
Rfam family: Eukaryotic small subunit ribosomal RNA (bases 1-73)
Source: RNAcentral